This 468-nucleotide ribosomal RNA is filed under the name uncultured bacterium. RNAcentral's name for it is "partial 16S ribosomal RNA". It matches the Rfam family "Bacterial small subunit ribosomal RNA", at positions 28 to 507 of the family's 1533-position model. The record is from RNAcentral.
GACGAACGCUGGCGGCGUGCUUAACACAUGCAAGUCGAACGGAAAGGCCCUGCUUUUGUGGGGUGCUCGAGUGGCGAACGGGUGAGUAACACGUGAGUAACCUGCCCUUGACUUUGGGAUAACUUCAGGAAACUGGGGCUAAUACCGGAUAGGAGCUCCUGCAGCAUGGUGGUGGUUGGAAAGUUUCGGCUGUUGGGGAUGGACUCGCGGGUUAUCAGCUUGUUGGUGGGGUAGUGGCUUACCAAGGCUUUGACGGGUAGCCGGCCUGGGAGGGUGACCGGCCACCUUGGGACUGAGAUACGGACCAGAAUCCUACGGGAGGCAGCAGUGGGGAAUAUUGCACAAUGGGGGGAAGCCUGAUGCAGCAACGCCGCGUGCGGGAUGACGGCUUUCGGGUUGUAAACCACUUUCGCCUGUGACGAGGCGUGAGUGACGGUAAUGGGUAAAGAAGCACCGGCUAACUACGUG